GUGUCAGCAGCCGCGGUAAUACGUAGGGGGCAAGCGUUGUCCGGAAUCAUUGGGCGUAAAGGGCGCGUAGGCGGUCAUUUAAGUCAGUGGUGAAAACCCAGGGCUCAACCCUGGGAAUGCCAUUGAAACUGGGUGACUUGAGUGCAGGAGAGGUAAGUGGAAUUCCCAGUGUAGCGGUGAAAUGCGUAGAAAUUGGGGGGAACACCAGUGGCGAAGGCGACUUACUGGACUGUGUCUGACGCUGAGGCGCGAAAGCUAGGGGAGAGAACAGGAUGAGAUACGGUGGGAUUCCUAGCUUGAAACGAUGUGUACUAGGUGUGGGGGGUAUCGACCCCUUCCGUGCCGGAGUUAACGCAAUAAGUA
RNAcentral lists this ribosomal RNA (363 nucleotides) under uncultured bacterium. Its description in RNAcentral is "bacterial SSU rRNA". It matches the Rfam family "Bacterial small subunit ribosomal RNA", at positions 505 to 866 of the family's 1533-position model. The record is from RNAcentral.